Malania oleifera is the source of this 739-nucleotide long non-coding RNA. RefSeq lists it as uncharacterized. NCBI's taxonomy places the organism in Eukaryota, Viridiplantae, Streptophyta, Magnoliopsida, Santalales, Ximeniaceae. The transcript is spliced from 3 exons. The record is from RefSeq and is a predicted model, not a curated record.
ACCACGUAGGGCAUUAUUCAUGCGCGAAAAGUAGGGUUCUGGACUAUUCCUUUUUUUAGGGCGGCCCGGCGCCGGCCCCGCGGGCGUAGUCAAGAGGCAGCAGUUAGGCUUAUUUUUUUGGCUUUUGAGGUAGGCUGCGCGGAAUUGAAAAAAACACACAGCAGCGUGGGUACGGCUGGCGGCAUAGAAGAAAGAACAAACCUGUGGAGGAACAAGAAGGUGGCGCACGGCGGCGGUGCUGGUGGCGUUCAUGGCGCGUUACGGCUGUGCUUGUGGUGUUGAUUUCUCUUUUAUUCUCUAGAGAAAUGAAAAUUUGGUGAUUUCAUUUAUUUUUGCACCGAUCAAGUUUUUGGCAGCGUUGCCGGGGAUUGAGUUUUCCUUAUCUUUGCCAAUAUCGAUACAAAGUAUUUUUUGUGUUGGACGUUGCUAGAACCUGUAACAUUAUUCCUUUUGAUUUAGAGAUUGAAAGAACUCUCAGAGCACUAAGAAAGAAGAGGCACUAGCCAUGGAGAAUGAACAAGAGAAUGUGCAGUCAUGCACCUUGAAGGAUUAUGUAUGGCCAGUUGUGAAUGACAACUAUUCGGGUAUAAGAUGUCAAACCAUUAAUGCCAACAAUUUUGAGCUCAAACCCGCAUCAGCAUGGUGCAACAAGCCCAAUUUAGUAGAUCGCCACUUGAUAAUUCCACUAUUCAUUUGGCAAUGUUUUUGGAAAUUUGUGAUACUGUAAAGAUCAAUGAUG